UACGUAGGGUGCGAGCGUUAAUCGGAAUUACUGGGCGUAAAGCGUGCGCAGGCGGUUUUGUAAGACAGGCGUGAAAUCCCCGGGCUCAACCUGGGAAUUGCGCUUGUGACUGCAAAGCUGGAGUGCGACAGAGGGGGAUGGAAUUCCGCGUGUAGCAGUGAAAUGCGUAGAUAUGCGGAGGAACACCGAUGGCGAAGGCAAUCCCCUGGGCCUGCACUGACGCUCAUGCACGAAAGCGUGGGGAGCAAACAGG
RNAcentral lists this ribosomal RNA (253 nucleotides) under uncultured bacterium. RNAcentral's name for it is "partial 16S ribosomal RNA". It matches the Rfam family "Bacterial small subunit ribosomal RNA", at positions 524 to 776 of the family's 1533-position model. The record is from RNAcentral.